UACAGAGGUCCCAAGCGUUGUUCGGAUUCACUGGGCGUAAAGGGUGCGUAGGCGGUCGGGUAAGUCUGACGUGAAAUCUUCAAGCUUAACUUGGAAACUGCGUCGGAUACUAUUCGGCUGGAGGAAUGGAGGGGAGACUGGAAUACUUGGUGUAGCAGUGAAAUGCGUAGAUAUCAGGAGGAACACCGGUGGCGAAGGCGGCAUCCUGGACCGGCAUUGACGCUGAGGCGCGAAAGCCAGGGGAGCAAACGGG
Molecule: ribosomal RNA, 253 nt
Filed under: uncultured prokaryote
Description: partial 16S ribosomal RNA
Rfam family: Bacterial small subunit ribosomal RNA
Source: RNAcentral